Molecule: ribosomal RNA, 250 nt
Filed under: uncultured bacterium
Lineage: Bacteria
Description: partial 16S ribosomal RNA
Rfam family: Bacterial small subunit ribosomal RNA
Source: RNAcentral
UACGAAGGGGGCUAGCGUUGCUCGGAAUCACUGGGCGUAAAGGGCGCGUAGGCGGACACUUAAGUCAGGGGUGAAAUCCCAAGGCUCAACCUUGGAAUUGCCUUUGAUACUGGGUGUCUUGAGACCGGUAGAGGUAAGCGGAACUGCGAGUGUAGAGGUGAAAUUCGUAGAUAUUCGCAAGAACACCAGUGGCGAAGGCGGCUUACUGGACCGGUUCUGACGCUGAGGCGCGAAAGCGUGGGGAGCAAAC